RNAcentral lists this ribosomal RNA (390 nucleotides) under Eukaryota sp. RNAcentral describes it as "partial small subunit ribosomal RNA". It matches the Rfam family "Eukaryotic small subunit ribosomal RNA", at positions 582 to 975 of the family's 1831-position model. The record is from RNAcentral.
AUUCCAGCUCUAGUAGCGUAUAUUAAAGUUGUUGCAGUUAAAAAGCUCGUAGUUGGAUUUUUGGGUCGUACGAGCCGUCCGAGGUUUCUCGUGUGCGGAGCGUUUGGCUCACCCUUCCAGUUGGGCGCAAGUGUCCUUAGUUGGGCGCCUGUCGUUUGUCUGGAACUUUUACUUUGAGCAAAAUAGAGUGUUCAAAGCAGGCUAAAGCCUUGAAUACAUUAGCAUGGAAUAUCAAUAUAGGACCAUGGUCUUAUUUUGUUGGUUUUUAGGACCAGGGUAAUGAUUAACAGGGACAGUUGGGGGCAUUCAUAUUUAGUUGUCAGAGGUGAAAUUCUAAGAUUUGCGAAAGAUGAACUUCUGCGAAAGCAUUUGCCAAGGAUGUUUUCAUUG